This 487-nucleotide ribosomal RNA is filed under the name uncultured bacterium. Its description in RNAcentral is "bacterial SSU rRNA". It matches the Rfam family "Bacterial small subunit ribosomal RNA", at positions 28 to 507 of the family's 1533-position model. The record is from RNAcentral.
GAUGAACGCUAGCGGGAGGCUUAACACAUGCAAGUCGAGGGGCAGCAUAGGGUAGCAAUACUCUGAUGGCGACCGGCAAACGGGUGAGUAACGCGUAUGUAACCUACCCUGUACAGGGGGAUAACCCGGAGAAAUUCGGACUAAUAUCCCAUAAUAAUAUCCGGAGGCAUCUUUGGAUAUUUAAAGUUCCGACGGUACGGGAUGGGCAUGCGUAACAUUAACUGGUUGGUAAGGUAACGGCUUACCAAGGCUAUGAUGUUUAGGGGUCCUGAGAGGGUGGUCCCCCACACUGGUACUGAGACACGGACCAGACUCCUACGGGAGGCAGCAGUGAGGAAUAUUGGUCAAUGGGCGCAAGCCUGAACCAGCCAUCCCGCGUGCAGGAAGACGGCCCUAUGGGUUGUAAACUGCUUUUCCAGGGAGAGAAACUUACGCACGUGUUGCGUGACUGACGGUACCCUGGGAAUAAGCAUCGGCUAACUCCGUG